CAAAGGAAGCGAUUCCGGCAACGGAUGGGCAUGCGUGACAUUAGCUAGUUGGCGGGGCAACGGCCCACCAAGGCGACGAUGUCUAGGGGUUCUGAGAGGAAGGUCCCCCACACUGGUACUGAGACACGGACCAGACUCCUACGGGAGGCAGCAGUGAGGAAUAUUGGUCAAUGGGCGCGAGCCUGAACCAGCCAAGUCGCGUGAGAGAUGACGGCCCUACGGGUUGUAAACCUCUUUUGUCGGGGAGCAAAUUCCGCCACGCGUGGCGGAGUCGAGAGUACCCGAAGAAAAAGCAUCGGCUAACUCCGUGCCAGCAGCCGCGGUAAUACGGAGGAUGCGAGCGUUAUCCGGAUUUAUUGGGUUUAAAGGGUGCGUAGGCGGACUGUCAAGUCAGCGGUAAAAUACGGGGGCUCAACCUCCGCCCGCCGUUGAAACUGACGGUCUUGAGUGGGCGAGAAGUAUGCGGAAUGCGUGGUGUAGCGGUGAAAUGCAUAGAUAUCACGCAGAACUCCGAUUGCGAAGGCAGCAUACCGGCGCCCAACUGACGCUGAAGCACGAAAGCGUGGGUAUCGAACAGGAUUAGAUACCCUGGUAGUCCACGCAGUAAACGAUGAAUACUAGCUGUCCGGGGCGAAUGAGCCCUGG
RNAcentral lists this ribosomal RNA (645 nucleotides) under uncultured bacterium. RNAcentral describes it as "bacterial SSU rRNA". It matches the Rfam family "Bacterial small subunit ribosomal RNA", at positions 202 to 842 of the family's 1533-position model. The record is from RNAcentral.